AGAGUUUGAUCCUGGCUCAGAUUGAACGCUGGCGGAAUGCUUUACACAUGCAAGUCGAACGGCAGCACGGGUGCUUGCACCUGGUGGCGAGUGGCGAACGGGUGAGUAAUGCGUCGGAACGUACCGAGUAAUGGGGGAUAACGCAGCGAAAGUUGUGCUAAUACCGCAUACGCCCUCCGGGGGAAAGCAGGGGAUCUUCGGACCUUGCGUUAUUCGAGCGGCCGACGUCUGAUUAGCUAGUUGGUGGGGUAAAGGCCUACCAAGGCGACGAUCAGUAGCGGGUCUGAGAGGAUGAUCCGCCACACUGGAACUGAGACACGGUCCAGACUCCUACGGGAGGCAGCAGUGGGAAAUUUUGGACAAUGGGGGCAACCCUGAUCCAGCCAUUCCGCGUGAGUGAAGAAGGCCUUCGGGUUGUAAAGCUCUUUCAGCAGGAACGAAACGGUACGCUCUAACAUAGUGUGCUAAUGACGGUACCUGCAGAAGAAGCACCGGCUAACUACGUGCCAGCAGCCGCGGUAAUACGUAGGGUGCGAGCGUUAAUCGGAAUUACUGGGCGUAAAGCGUGCGCAGGCGGAUUGUUAAGCAAGACGUGAAAUCCCCGGGCUUAACCUGGGAAUGGCGUUUUGAACUGGCAGUCUAGAGUGUGUCAGAGGGGGGUAGAAUUCCACGUGUAGCAGUGAAAUGCGUAGAGAUGUGGAGGAAUACCGAUGGCGAAGGCAGCCCCCUGGGAUAACACUGACGCUCAUGUACGAAAGCGUGGGUAGCAAACAGGAUUAGAUACCCUGGUAGUCC
This 795-nucleotide ribosomal RNA is filed under the name uncultured bacterium. RNAcentral's name for it is "bacterial SSU rRNA". It matches the Rfam family "Bacterial small subunit ribosomal RNA", at positions 8 to 796 of the family's 1533-position model. The record is from RNAcentral.